Mesocricetus auratus (golden hamster) is the source of this 2254-nucleotide long non-coding RNA. RefSeq lists it as uncharacterized. The record is from RefSeq and is a predicted model, not a curated record. The transcript has 3 exons. NCBI's taxonomy places the organism in Eukaryota, Metazoa, Chordata, Mammalia, Rodentia, Cricetidae.
AACUUUCGUUCCUCGAUUCUACUAGCUCAUUUUAAAUAUUCAUUGGCUGUGUGUAGCUAGGAGCUUUCAUUUUGUACAUCACCAGAUAAGCAUCCGCACCUGAGCAAAAUGUUCCUUGGACAUCACUGAUGAAAGAUCAGCCAACCAUUUACACAACAAGGAGUACCCAUUAUGAAAACCACCCCUCUGCCUUUACUUCUUUUUGAUUUAAAAAUGUAUUUAUUUGUUCUUUAUGGGAUUUUAAGACUUAGACAAUACAGCCACCGAGAAUCUAGAACGUCAGUAAACUGUAAGGAAGGUGAGAAUCUCAGCAGGCUGGACAUCACCGUUUCCCUUUGAGAAUCACCACCGAGAUCUGGAGAUCUGGAGAUCUCAGAAGAUCACAAGAACUCAUUUGAUGGUGAAUGGUUUAUCUGUCCUAACAUAACCUCGUGAAAGGAAAACUAAAACAGCAAAAGAUCUAUGGCCUUUCUCUCCCUCCCCUGCCCCGCCCCUGUAUUCAUCUGCUACGUAUGGCCAGACAUGAGAAGGGAAGGAAGGCUAUAAGAAAUCUCCCAACAACAGUCAGGGCCUACUUCUUGGGAGCCAGGAGAGCAGGGCGCCACGGUCCAGGCAGCGGGCUGUUACUGACAUUUCUGCUGUACUGCACCUGCUAACCCAGCUCGCCACAGCCAAAGGCUACAGCGAUACUCUUAUCAACGACAUCUGAGCGUGUGCCCUGCACUGGGGGGUUACCGGCCAUGCCAACCAGCGUAUAUGGACGACUGUUUACAUUAGGGCUCUCCCAAAAUGGAGAUCAUUGCCUCCUAAUUCACUCGGCCUACGCCAUCCUAAAGUCUGCACAAAGCACCUAACCUUAUCAGAUGUAAAGCCUGGCCCUCUUGUGUGUCUGCAACCAGAGGGAGCUCCACAUCUAGAAGCAAUGUGCACUGAUGCCGUUCUCCGGCAGCUUGUGCUUCCAGAAUUAACCUCGUGCUGCUGCCAUUCUGAGCCCCGAGGCUGACAGUGGCCCUGGCUGAGGACAUGAAUGAGUCACCAUUUGUUUUUUUAAAUUAGUCCUUAGCUAUUUGCAGAAACAGAGCCUCAAAUAAUUAAAGGAAUCUGAAGGAAGAAAAGAAGUAGUGACUUCUUGCUUUUAUGAUCCAGCCACAGUUCAUCAGCUACCUAAGAGAGAAAACACUUUCAAAUGGGAGUCUCCUUCAGCUCCCUUUAAAUGGAGGCCCAAAGAUCAACAAAUCUGAUAUAAAUCGGAAUGAAUGGGCCGGAUUAGGACAAAAGUAUAUGAUUUUGUAAAACCAUCUGAUCCUUAUCAAACACAAUGUAUACAAACGCUUCCAUUUUACAAUAGGCUUGGUGAGUCAACUCUGAAUUCCCAUCAGAUUUUUCUCCCUCACCGAAUUUGCUUCCUGAAACCCUGCGCAGUCAGUUAGUACUCAGGACAGCGCCCACUGAAUUUGCUUCCUAAAACCCUGCGCAGUCAGUUAGGACUGAGGACAGCAGCGGCAAUGACAUCCAGCCUCCUUUUGUGCCUCAAACUUCCCAGUCCCUUCUUGGAAGGACCCGCCUGCUGAUCUAGCUGUCACUUCAAUUAUACUUCCCAUUUUCAUUUUUUCAAUUACACUUUUUCAUAUACAUUUUAUUUAAAUUAGAAACAAUCUUAGUUUACAUAUCAAUCCCACUUCCCUCUCCCUCCCAUCCUCCCAUGCCCCCCACGGACCCAUAUUUCCAAUCUGAACUAAGAUACAGAAAGCUUGCAGGGUUUUUUUUCCUAGCAAAAAGGAAAAAGUAGGAUAACUGGCACAAACGUAACAUUAAACUCAUCAAGAGAUUAAUAUCACAGGACCAUGAAAUAUACUGACAUCCAGAGAAAGACUGAAGAUUCCAAGGCACAUCCACCGUCAUCAUCAACCUCACCUGCUCCCUGCAGACUGUGCAAAGGCCACGCUCUGCCUUAGGAAAUUCUCAGCUUAUUACCUAUAUUACAAGCCAUCUCCUUUUAAAACUUAUUUAAUUGUAUUUCAUAUGCCUGUGAUGGGGGAAGUCCUUCUGUGCGUAUGUUUGUCUGACUGGUAUAAAUAAAGCACUGUUGGCCAAUAGGGAAGCAAGAUAGGUGGGACUAGGAGUCUAAGAAGAUUCUGGGAAAUGUAGUGAAGAGAGUUGUUGCCAUGUGAUCUCUCAGGAGGAAAGGACGAGUCAGAAGAGAGUCCUCGGAAAGAUAAGAAUAUAUAUUAGUAAUUAUGGGUCAAUAAUUAAG